GACGAACGCUGGCGGCGUGCCUAACACAUGCAAGUCGAGCGGAGAUGAUGUGAGGAAGUUUUCGGAUGGAAUCACAUUAUUUUAGCGGCGGACGGGUGAGUAACGCGUGAGCGACCAACCUUGCACAGGGGGAUAACGGACCGAAAGGUUCACUAAUACCGCAUGAGACCACGGUGUUGCAUGACACAGGGGUCAAAGGAGGAAUCCGGUGCAAGACGGGCUCGCGUCCGAUUAGGUAGUUGGAGGGGUAACGGCCCACCAAGCCUAUGAUCGGUAGCCGACCUGAGAGGGUGAUCGGCCACAUUGGAACUGAGAUACGGUCCAAACUCCUACGGGAGGCAGCAGUGGGGAAUAUUGGGCAAUGGGGGAAACCCUGACCCAGCAACGCCGCGUGAAGGAAGAAGGUUUUCGGAUUGUAAACUUCUGUCCUUGGUGAAGAGAAGAAGACGGUAGCCGAAGGAGGAAGCCCCGGCUAACUACGUGCCAGCAGCCGCGGUAAGCGUAGCGUG
Molecule: ribosomal RNA, 509 nt
Filed under: uncultured bacterium
Lineage: Bacteria
Description: bacterial SSU rRNA
Rfam family: Bacterial small subunit ribosomal RNA
Source: RNAcentral